GGAAGUAAAAGUCGUAACAAGGUUUCCGUAGGUGAACCUGCGGAAGGAUCAUUACUGAUUUAGCGAACCGAGCAUUAGCGAGGUUUUGCGAUCAAUUUAUAUUUAAAACCCACUCUUUAAUGUAUAAAAUUUGUAUUAAUGAUAAAUUAAAAGAUCACUUUCAACAACGGAUCUCUUGGCUCUCGCAUCGAUGAAGAACGUAGCGAAGUGCGAUAAGUAAUGUGAAUUGCAGUAUUCCGUGAAUCAUCGAAUCUUUGAACGCAUAUUGCACUUUCUGGUAUUCCGGAAAGUAUGCCUGUUUGAGGGUCAAUUAAAAAAAAUCGGGCGUUUUUGCUGUCCGGAAUUGGGUCGUCAUAACCUUUCGGUUAAGUAACCUAAAAUUUUGUAUGAUUUUUGAACGUAUUUAAAUUUUAUUUGUACGUUUGAGAUAUCGAAUGUUUAUUAGGUUCGGUCAUUCUAAUGACCCGCGCCUAUAGUUUUUUCAUUAAAUGACCUCAAAUCAGGUAAGAAUACCCGCUGAACUUAAGCAUAUCAAUAAGCGGAGGA
This 546-nucleotide ribosomal RNA is filed under the name uncultured Glomus. Its description in RNAcentral is "eukaryotic LSU rRNA". The stretch from base 156 to 309 matches the Rfam family "5.8S ribosomal RNA". Lineage: Eukaryota; Fungi; Glomeromycota; Glomeromycetes; Glomerales; Glomeraceae. The record is from RNAcentral.